AAUUUUUCAUAGAUCUUUUGGAAUGUUUUCUAGUAGGAUUUCUGACCUUGGUUGGAAAUCCAAG
Molecule: small nuclear RNA, 64 nt
Organism: Mastomys coucha (southern multimammate mouse)
Lineage: Eukaryota; Metazoa; Chordata; Mammalia; Rodentia; Muridae
Product: U7 small nuclear RNA
Exons: 1
Source: RefSeq, a predicted model, not a curated record